GGGGGUGACCUGGUCUCGACGGGAAUAGUGAUACUAAAGCUGCAUGCCGAGGGAUCCAUUGACCUCGUAAAUCCUGAUGGAAACUCAUAAGUGCAAACACUUAUGAAUAUGCUCUGGCUGCUUAAUUAACAGCCGGCAUCCUCUCUGUCUUUGUCUGUAAGACGGAAAAAGGAUGUUAUAAAUACAGGCUGGCUACACAUCAUGUCUGAGGGUGUGGGGCGAGACUAAUCAGGCUGGCUGCUCAAGAAUCCUGCCUCAGGGAGUUGAGAGCGGCGAGACACUAAAUCAGAGGAUAAGCAUGUAGUAUGCUUUCAGUUGAGCAUUUUCGGACGCGGGUUCGAUUCCCGCCACCUCCACCA
Non-coding RNA from Nitrospinae bacterium RIFCSPLOWO2_12_39_16, 359 nucleotides. The record is from Rfam. NCBI's taxonomy places the organism in Bacteria, Pseudomonadati, Nitrospinota.